RNAcentral lists this transfer RNA (76 nucleotides) under Phrynosoma platyrhinos (Desert horned lizard). Its description in RNAcentral is "tRNA-OTHER". The record is from RNAcentral. Lineage: Eukaryota; Metazoa; Chordata; Lepidosauria; Squamata; Phrynosomatidae.
GAGCCCUGGUGGCGCAGUGGUUAAAUGCCUGUACUCAUAGACCACAAGGUUGCGAGUUCAAUACUAGCAGGGCUCA